UACGGAGGGUGCGAGCGUUGUCCGGAAUCACUGGGCGUAAAGGGCGCGUAGGCGGCCUGAUAAGUAGGGGGUGAAAUCCUGCGGCUUAACCGCAGGGCUGCCUUCUAAACUGUCAGGCUAGAGCACGGUAGAGGCAGAUGGAAUUCCCGGUGUAGCGGUGGAAUGAGUAGAGAUCGGGAAGAACAUCAGUGGCGAAGGCGGUCUGCUGGGCCGUUGCUGACGCUGAGGCGCGACAGCGUGGGGAGCAAACAGG
RNAcentral lists this ribosomal RNA (253 nucleotides) under uncultured bacterium. RNAcentral's name for it is "partial 16S ribosomal RNA". It matches the Rfam family "Bacterial small subunit ribosomal RNA", at positions 524 to 776 of the family's 1533-position model. The record is from RNAcentral.